GACGAACGCUGGCGGCGUGCUUAACACAUGCAAGUCGAACGGAAAGGCCCUGCUUUUGUGGGUUGCUCGAGUGGCGAACGGGUGAGUAACACGUGAGUAACCUGCCCUUGACUUUGGGAUAACUUCAGGAAACUGGGGCUAAUACCGGAUAGGAGCUCCUGCUGCAUGGUGGGGGUUGGAAAGUUUCGGCGGUUGGGGAUGGACUCGCGGCUUAUCAGCUUGUUGGUGGGGUAGUGGCUUACCGAGGCUUUGACGGGUAGCCGGCCUGAGAGGGUGACCGGCCACAUUGGGACUGAGAUACGGCGCAGACUCCUACGGGAGGCAGCAGUGGGGAAUAUUGCACAAUGGGCGGAAGCCUGAUGCAGAAACGCCGCGUGCGGGAUGAAGGCCUUCGGGUUGUAAACCGCUUUCGCCUGUGACGAAGCGUGAGUGACGGUAAUGGGUAAAGAAGCACCGGCUAACUACGUG
RNAcentral lists this ribosomal RNA (468 nucleotides) under uncultured bacterium. RNAcentral describes it as "partial 16S ribosomal RNA". It matches the Rfam family "Bacterial small subunit ribosomal RNA", at positions 28 to 507 of the family's 1533-position model. The record is from RNAcentral.